This 562-nucleotide ribosomal RNA is filed under the name Trichoderma atroviride. RNAcentral's name for it is "eukaryotic LSU rRNA". The stretch from base 204 to 357 matches the Rfam family "5.8S ribosomal RNA". The record is from RNAcentral. Lineage: Eukaryota; Fungi; Ascomycota; Sordariomycetes; Hypocreales; Hypocreaceae.
CCAGCGGAGGGAUCAUUACCGAGUUUACAACUCCCAAACCCAAUGUGAACCAUACCAAACUGUUGCCUCGGCGGGGUCACGCCCCGGGCGCGUCGCAGCCCCGGAACCAGGCGCCCGCCGGAGGGACCAACCAAACUCUUUUCUGUAGUCCCCUCGCGGACGUUAUUUCUUACAGCUCUGAGCAAAAAUUCAAAAUGAAUCAAAACUUUCAACAACGGAUCUCUUGGUUCUGGCAUCGAUGAAGAACGCAGCGAAAUGCGAUAAGUAAUGUGAAUUGCAGAAUUCAGUGAAUCAUCGAAUCUUUGAACGCACAUUGCGCCCGCCAGUAUUCUGGCGGGCAUGCCUGUCCGAGCGUCAUUUCAACCCUCGAACCCCUCCGGGGGGUCGGCGUUGGGGACCUCGGGAGCCCCUAAGACGGGAUCCCGGCCCCGAAAUACAGUGGCGGUCUCGCCGCAGCCUCUCCUGCGCAGUAGUUUGCACAACUCGCACCGGGAGCGCGGCGCGUCCACGUCCGUAAAACACCCAACUUCUGAAAUGUGACCUCGAUCAGUAGAUUCCCCAG